UAGGAAAAUUCACAAGGGCACCCUGCAAACGAGCUACACCAGAGCUGUGCCAAAUGCAACCACGAAAGAGCUUGGGGGUGCUGCACCCCAAUCCAGCAGGAAGUUUUCAUAGUAGAGCAUCUUGGCUUGGGAGAAGAGGGAGAGGAGGAGGAAGGGAACUGGGCACCUCUUGAGAAUCAAGAUAAGGACCUACCACCUAAUGGUUUAUGGUAGGCAUUCAAUAAUGUUUGUGGAAGGAAGAAACCAUCAGACAAAUUGAAACCCCAGAGGAUGGAAGCUGGGCAACUGGUUAAUUACUCCUGCCCGCCCCCGCCCCAGAAUGUCUGUCAUAACCUAGUUAAGAUUUCUUUUUUUUUU
Molecule: long non-coding RNA, 357 nt
Organism: Orcinus orca (killer whale)
Lineage: Eukaryota; Metazoa; Chordata; Mammalia; Artiodactyla; Delphinidae
Exons: 2
Source: RefSeq, a predicted model, not a curated record